Molecule: long non-coding RNA, 2440 nt
Organism: Terrapene triunguis (Three-toed box turtle)
Lineage: Eukaryota; Metazoa; Chordata; Testudines; Emydidae
Exons: 2
Source: RefSeq, a predicted model, not a curated record
ACCAUCUGGCAUUGGCCACUGUCGGAAGACAGGAUACUAGCUAGAUGGACCAUUGGUCUGACCCAGAAUAAAUGGCCGUAUUUAUGUAUCUUACUAAUUUAGAAACAGGAUUGAAUUGAAAUACUUACAUUUUCAUUUAAAAAAAAAGGCAUUUGGCAUUCUUAACAGCUCACAGCUCACUGUUAAGAACAGCUCACUGUUCUUUCAAAUAAUGUUCCCAACCAGGGGAGUUUUGGUAUUCAUGCAUUAGUAAGUUACUAAAACAGAAAAUGAGAGAGAGACAUUAAGGCUUUCAAAAUACAUUCACUUUGUAUACAUAUGUAUACAUAUACAUCACUUUUGCUGAUGAGCUAAAGGCUCUUUAUUGGAUUUAAUUCAAUUUCUUCCUGAACAGCAAAUUUAGAAAACAAAUGUAACAUUAUUUUAGCAACACUGUAUUUUUCAGAAAUAGAGAUGGUCGUAGUCACAGUGCUAUCAGUUAUAAGGAAAGGUUUCAAGACUUACUGAAAUCACAUUUGAAAUUCUGCAACUACCAUUAACAAUGGCAUUGUUUUAAUCUAUUGUUAGUGGACCAAGGUUCCCUGAUUUUAAUAAUCCUGGAAAAGAAUAGUUUCUGUUUUGAAAAAUUCUAAUCUUUGUCUUUUGCCCCUAAAAUAUUUCAGUUUUUGAAAUUUAUUGUGGGAGAUAAUACCAGCCUGUAAUUUUAAAAACAGAGGGGCACAUCCUCAGCCCCAAAAUAUCUUGUAGGUGAAAUGAUUUACUGAAGCAUUAUAAAAAUGAAUUACUGUAAAUGUUUCUAAUGAGGCAUCCAUUUAAAAAAUAAUUUAAUCAUGCUAAUUUGUUGAAGCAGGUGAUUUUGUCCAGGGUGGCAGCUAACGUCAUGUUUUAGCAGCAUCCAAAAGCGGUAGCUCUAGAUUGAUUGCUUUUUUUUUUUAUUAACUAGGAAAGUGAAGGGUGAUCUUCCACAGUCAAUAUUAGGAAAAUCAAAAUAACUUGCAUCUCAGACAACAGAGAAAUAUAUAGAGAAAAGACUGAGUUUUGAACCUUUGAGGUUACUUCUGCUGAAUUAUACAUGAGGGGAAAAACAUGUGGAUCCUCUUAGCUCCACAAUGUAUGUAGUUUAAAGUCAAGAGAAGAACAGGUACAAUUGAUUUAGCUACAAUAAUAUGUUUGCUUUAUUAUAAUGUGGGAAAAUAUAGCACAUAUUUUACAUAAAAAUAAUUGUUGUGAUCAUCAAAUAGAGGCUGAACUACAGGAUGGCUUUGCAUACAGUUCUUAAUCAGAAAAUGAGAUUGUUGUUUCAGAAGAUUUACAGGGGUCUUUUGGACAGCAGUGUGUGACUAGUCCUGUAGGAGUAAUUCUAUUUUCUUUUGCUUAGAAGUGUUACUUGACUUGCCUCAUUUCUCUUUAAUCCUUCAACAACCCAUAACAUUGGUUAAUUUUGGAUGCAAAAUCUACUAUAGAUAGGUGCAUUUGUAAAAUUUUCUUUAUUGGAGACUAUACUAAUAACUUUUGAUAGUAAAUAGCUCAUACCAUGUACAUAAUUUCUGGUCAGAAUUAUUCUCUGAAAAUGAUGUAGCCCAUUUCUGUAAUCUUUGAGGAGGUAUGGUUAAUUUUGUUUUGUGAUACACACUUUUAAAAAUCCUCACAAGGUGGCAGUCUUGAACCAUCUUUUUCAAAUUACUAGAUAUUUAUUUUAAUGAUAUUUGAAUUACAGUGUCAUGUUUCCUACCUUAGUUCGUGUUCGAGAGUUAAAACAUUUAAAGUACUUUAGCACAUAUCCUUAUGUAAUUUUUUUCAAUAACUUGUGUAGCUACAAUGUUUGUGUUCUUAAUUUGUUAACUUUUUUGUUAGGAUUUUAAAAGCCAUGUAUUUUUGCUUAUUAUUUUAAAAAUAUUUGUUUUAAUUCUAGCAAGAUUUGGUAUACUGUGUCUGUGAAAUCCUUGAUCUCUUUUCAUACUUGAUAUUAGAAGAAACAGAAAUUAAGCCUGAAAGCUCACUAUUGAAAUGAGAUGGAAUGAGAGUUGGUACUAGGAGCAGAAGUGGAAGGAGGUGAUUCAUGCUGGUUUUCGGAUACCUUCUCCCAUUGGUGGUGCACAAUGAUUGGGUCAUGUAUAUAACCACAUGGGGGAAUUUGUCAAUCUACUUGUGGUUGAGAGCAUCUGGAACUUUCCCUUUGGAAUGGGAAAUACUCCUGGAACAGGUCUGCUCACUUGUGUGACUGACCUCACUGAAUGUUUGUUUUGUAAUAGUUCAUCAAAUUAUUUUUCUUGUAUUUAACUAUAGUUGUUUUAGUAAUCUGCCUCUUUGUUUUCAAGAAAAGUAGUAUGCUAAUUGGACUUGUGACUGCCAUGUUUUUGUUAUAUAUUUUUUCAUAUUGUUCAUCAUCCAAAGACUAAUGUAGGUGUUUUAUAAAGUAAUAAAUAAAUACAAAUUCCAA